Macaca mulatta (Rhesus monkey) is the source of this 3504-nucleotide long non-coding RNA. RefSeq lists it as uncharacterized. NCBI's taxonomy places the organism in Eukaryota, Metazoa, Chordata, Mammalia, Primates, Cercopithecidae. The record is from RefSeq and is a predicted model, not a curated record.
CUAGGGAGGAAGCCCAGGCUACGGCGGACCCAGCUGACCAAAGGGAACUACAGAAGAGGAUGAAGAAAGCGAGGGGGAAAGGGCGAGGGUUAUUAACUGAGUUGGCGGAACAAGGUAGUGGCUCCAAACUUCACGGCUCAUUAGAGCUUGAAAAAAAUCAGACACCGGGCCGCACAGAAGUAAUUAAACCAAUCCCUCUGGCGGCGGGGCCCAGGCGCCAGUUUUUUUGUUUUUUAAUUUCCCAGUUGAAUCCAAUGGGAAUCCAAGUUUGAGGGCUGGAAGACCAGAGAGGCAGCAACGGACGGGGAGGAGGCGCGCCAGCCCAGGACCGAGGCACAUGCGGGCCGGCAAUACCGAAGGCUCCGCCUCUUCCUGUGGCUCAGAGGAGCCGCGGAACCCCCAACACGCGGCUCAGGCAGAGACACCCACUCUUUCGGCGCUAGGGGCGGCUGGAAGGGACGAGAGGUUGGCCUGGGAAGAGGGAGGCGGCUCCAGCACCGCAUUACCUGAUCAGGGCCGCGACCCUCAUGCUGAGCGCAGUGCGCGUGCGUGCGGCGGGCGCGUGCGGGGGCGGGAGCCAGGAGGUCGCCGCCGCAGCUCCCGUGACGCACCGCGGGGCCUCGCCCGGGUGUUCGCUCCGCCGCCUGUCCGCGGAUCGGUGCUGCGAGCCCCGCGGCUGCCUGCAGGACACCUGAGCGCGGAGGGUGCGGCACGUUGGCACCUUGACCCUGUGACAGGAACACCUCGGCCCAGAAAAGAAUGAUGUUUAGGCACGGCCUAACCACCUAAGUGAGGGCACUGAAGCUGCCGGGGGAAGGGCAAGCUCCGUGUUGCAGAGCCCAAGCCCGGGGGCGCUGGAUUUGUUUUGGUCCUUAACAGAUUGGAUGAAAUUGGUGAAGGUAGAUCUUCCUUACUUAAUCUGCUGAUUCAAGUGCCAGUCUCUUCUGGAAACACCUCCACAACAUAUCCAGAGAUUUUACUUUAGCAGCUAUGUCUCAGUUUGCUUCAUCUGUGGAAUGGAGAUGGUUUCCUGUGUGAGCAUGAAAAUUUCUCCCAGCUCUGAAGACCUUUGAUUUCGUAAGAAUCAUUGUGAAGGUGUGGGCUUGGCAAAUGGAUGGAAAGAUGAGCAAUGGGAGAGGAAAGAAUUGAAGAGGACUGUGAGGUUUGAAGAAUGGGUAACUAGCAUCAUUCACAGAAAUGAGAGGGACAAGGGGUGAGAAUAAUCGGGAAUCAGUGGGUGAAGAAAGACUGGUUUGGAUCUGUUGCAAUGGAGAGGCCAAUGACAUUUCUUUGUGAUGUCUAACUGGUCCGUGGACAGAGAAAAAGGUGAAACUUUGUUUACUUGUCUGUAAAAUAGGAAUGAGGUGAUAUAUAGAGAUGUGGGGAUCGCUUACAUAGAGAUAGCAGGUGAAACCAUGGAAGUGACAAAAACUCUCGGUAAGGAAAGGGAGGAUAAAAAAUGCAGUUAAGGGAGAUAACAUUUGUUGUGAAGCUACUACGUGCUAUGCACAUUAUCUAUUUUAUCUCAUUUAAACCUCACAAAAAUCUUGUGGACUAUGGGUAAUUCCCUCCAUUUUAUGUGUUAGAAAAAAAAUGAUGCUCAGCAAGGUCCCAGAUUGCAUAAGAAUUAACAUAUUGCUCAGAUUUGAACCAGUCUCUCUGACUCCAAAAUCUACAUGGCGCUGGUCCAAUGUGAAACAUUGACAAUGAGAAGGGAUGAGGACACAGCCUAGGAGUUCUCAGAAGGGUGGAAGAAGAACCCUUGAAAUUUUGAUAGUGCGAGGUCAGUUCAGCCAAAGCUGGACAGAGGGGAAGGAGGGAAAAUCAUAUUCAAAAUUGCAGAGAACUCAAGGGGAAUAAGAACUAUAAAAAAAUUGGGUCAGUGGGGGGAUUGAAGGAGGCCAAUUAUGCCACCUCAGAGGUUUCUAAUAUAUUGAUUGGGGUGAACCUGAGAAGGAAGGGUGCAGAUUAUGAAAAUGGUAAUUAUAAUACUAAAUAUAUACUGAGCACUUAAUAUAUGCCAGACACUUUUCUAAGUGACUGAUAUGUAUUAACUUUUAAUCCCAACAACAACUGGCUUAUUGAAUGGUUUAGGCUCAGUAGGGUUCAAGGCAGGAAACAGUUUUAUCCUCUCCUGAUACAGCUUUUCAGUCACAUCCCAUCAUUUCUCCAUGACUACUUCUGGAUGAUAUGUUGGGCAAAUCUCCUAACUUUUUUGGAUCCUUUUCAGGUACUGUAUUAGAAACUAACAUCCAUACAUUAAUAUAAUGGAUGCCAUUUUGUAGCAAAAAAUGAUGUUCUUUAUAUAGUGACAUAAAAUACUAAAGGGGAAAAAGAGCAGGAGAGUGAAUACCAUAAACUACAUGUAAUAAAAAAGAAAGCAUAUAUAUUCAUAUUUAAUUAUGUAUGCACUAAAUAUCACUUGGAAUAUCACCAAGGAAGAAAUACAAAUAUUUGCUGAUGGGAAGAAGUUAUUGGCUGGAAUAACUGUAGAGGGAGGGAAACUUUUCACUGAAUAUCUUUUUAGUCUCCUUGACUUUUAAUCUAUGUGAAUGUAUUACUAUUGAUCUCAGUCGGCUAUUGCUACAAUAAUGAUGUACAACAACCAUCCUCAAACUCAGGCAAUAUGCUUUGUUUCUCAUGCUCAUGGGCAAGUGGUUCGGCUGAGUGGCUCUGCAUCAGGCUGCAGUUGUUCAGGUUGCCUGUAGUAGUUUGCAAGGGACUGAAUAUUUGUGUCACCCCCUCCACUACUCAGAUGUUGAAAGCCUAACCUUCAAUGUGGUGCUAUUAAGAGGUGAGGCCUUUGGGAGGCAAUUAAGUCAUGAAGGUGGCGCCUUCAUGAAUGAGUAAAGGGGACCCUAAAGAGCUCACCCUCUUUUGCCCAUGUGAGGAUACAAUGAGAAGAUGACAGUUUGCCACCUGGAAGAGGACCCUGAUUAUAAGGGCACCCUGAUCCCAGAUUUCAAGCCUCUAGAAAAGCGAGAACUAAAUUUCCAUUGUUUAUAAACCACCCAGUCUAAGCUAUUUUGUUAUUGCAGGCCAAACUAACUAAGAUAUAGCUCUACUCCAUUUGUCUCAUUAUGAGGUCCCAGCUGGAGGGGCAGUCUUUCUGGGGCAUGUUCUUCUCUUAGUGAAGUCAGGAAUUUCCAGAGGGUGACAGAAAACACUCAUGCUUUCAACUGCAGGCCUGGGCUUGGAAUGUUCACAUACUCACUUCCAACCCAAUGCUUAAAUAAGCAAGGCAGCAUACUCCUCCAGAGUUAAAGGGGCGUGAGUCACUGCUGAACAAUGGUCUACCUGCCUCUUUAAAAAGUAUUUUAAGUCCACUUGAGCCUAAGAUCAAAAUUGUAAUCUCUCAUCCAAUCUCAGACUUCUCCCUUCCCCACUGUGGCUCAGCAGAUCAGGCUUGACCCAUAUUUAGAAAUUUAUGGUAGGCGUCGGGGGUGGUGGUUCAUGCCUGUAAUCCCAGCACUUUGGGAAGCUGAAGUAGGUGGCUCACCUGAG